AUUCUAAUAGUUUUAAAACAUUAAAUUGCAAAUUUAAAAUAAUGAUACUAUUUUAAUA
RNAcentral lists this transfer RNA (58 nucleotides) under Pirata subpiraticus. RNAcentral describes it as "tRNA-Cys". Lineage: Eukaryota; Metazoa; Arthropoda; Arachnida; Araneae; Lycosidae. The record is from RNAcentral.